This 1099-nucleotide long non-coding RNA is filed under the name Mus caroli (Ryukyu mouse). Its description in RNAcentral is "lncRNA (MGP_CAROLIEiJ_G0005196.1)". Lineage: Eukaryota; Metazoa; Chordata; Mammalia; Rodentia; Muridae. The record is from RNAcentral.
AGUCCAACUGGACAUCAGGACAAAGAAGCUGCCCCUGCAUGAAGACAUUUGUGUUUACUUCCUGAACUUCUCUGAAAAAGGAUUUUACAGCCCUGGGCCUGGAGGGUCACCCCUGUCAUCCCAACAUUAGGAAGGCCGAAGCAGAAAAAUUGCCAAGUGGGAGGCUAGCCUGGGCCACACAGCGAGACUCUGACCCAGACAGGACAAAACAACGCUUUACAAAAAUGUCGGCAUCCCUUGAAUCUGUGGGUCUAAUCUGGAAGCUGGCCAACUCUGAAAAGAAACCGGAGGUACAACUAGCUGUACAAAUUGGUGCUGCUUGCCAAUAACACAGGGUGGCCACUGGCACAGGGUAGUGUGGCCACUUGUGGCCUGGGAGACUGGGUCUGUCUGACCCACAGUGUAACCAGCCUACUGCCACACCGAACAGAAUUGUACGUAUAAAAAGCCUUCGUCUGGCCCUGCAUCUAAAGGGCCAGUAUGACCCCAGGGCUGUAGGAUGCUGUACCAGAGACACAGCUGUUCUGGGGCAGGAGUGGGACAAAGGCUUUGCAUCUGGAAAUCAUCCAAAGCUUCCAGCUGUCAGAGUCAAACCAGGAACCAUGGAAACCAGACCCUUGCAGCUCUGUGUCGCUCUCUGCUUACACUUUCAGGGACCACGCCUUGCUGGUGGAAAGCUUCAGUCAACCAUGGCUCCACUUGGAACAUCAGAUCCCACAGGCCAAGACUCGACCCCUCCACAGGAUGGACCUCACUUCACACAAUAGCUUCAGGUCCUGGCUGGUACUGGUGCUCUGGACAGAUUUGUAUAAACUGGGAGUGGGGGGUGGUUAUGCCUUGAAUUUGAGUUCCUCUGAGUAUACUUUGUCACUUGCUAGAAUUGUUCGUAGAACUCUAAAAGACAUUUUACAUACAUUGAUCUUUUUAUUUUCAAGGGGGCAGCUUUAAGAUAGAGCAUGACGCAGAGGUUCUGAGGGAUAGGAAGGCUGUCAUGGCCUUGGCGGGCACUACCCUCCACAGCUCCCACAUCUGGAAAUUCUCUGAAUCCUACAGUUCCUCUCUGUUGGUGGUUGUGGGAAAUAUAAAAAAAUGAACCAGC